GAGCGUUGAGCCCUGAACUGAGAAGGAGACGUGUGGUCUCCUCUCCUCCCCCUGGGUGGGUGGGGAGGCUUCACAGGUUCAGGCCGGCGCUGACCGCUCACAUCUGCUUGCGGGUCGUGGAGGGUCUGCCAAUGUGCUGUUUCUGGAAGCCUCAGAUCCAGGCUGGAGCUGGAGAAAUUCUGGGUCCCGGAACGUUCCUUUUCCUCCCUCUGAGAAUAAAAGCAGCUCCUCCAAAAUAAGGGCUGAGGUUGACCUCCAUACCUGCCUUCUGCCUGGAAACCACUGCAGUCAGGAAGGUGAAGGUCUGUGACGAGGCAGCCCCUGGUGGGAAAGGACGACGGCCUGAACAGCCUCAGGCCGCCCACCCCAGGCUCCCCUGUCCCCUGACGGCCACCUCCCAGUCCCUGGGCCUCUGAGGGCUCACCUGAGACCUACUCGCCCACGGGGAGCACCCCCUCUCUUGCAACGUCUAUGGCUGCUUGAGACCACGAGCCACCUCUUCCGCGGGACUGGCCUUGGCCUUGAGCUCUGAUG
Molecule: long non-coding RNA, 534 nt
Organism: Bos taurus (domestic cattle)
Lineage: Eukaryota; Metazoa; Chordata; Mammalia; Artiodactyla; Bovidae
Source: Ensembl